This is a long non-coding RNA of Bombus impatiens (common eastern bumble bee), 2019 nucleotides long. RefSeq lists it as uncharacterized. The transcript has 2 exons. The record is from RefSeq and is a predicted model, not a curated record. NCBI's taxonomy places the organism in Eukaryota, Metazoa, Arthropoda, Insecta, Hymenoptera, Apidae.
AGAGAGAGAGAGAGAGAGAGAGAGAGAGAGAGAAGACGAAAAAUAAGAUCAACUUUCGCGUGCGCGUGAGCGAUACAAGUCGAAAUCUUCAAACUUACAAAACUCUUUAGCAUCGUAAAGGCAAAGCAUAUGACCAAGCUCUUAACGAUGACUUAGCGUAAACGACAAACAAGUAAAUAUAAAUAUAAAUAAAAUAUGAAUAUAGGUAUAAAUUGAGAUAUAAAUAUACACUGCACACACGCGCGCGCACAUACGUACGUGUGUGUGUGUGGGGAGGGAGGGGGCGGGGGGUUAGUUGUAAUUCAAGAGUGUACGUAUAAAUAUACAUAAUAAGUAUAAAUAUAUACAUCCAUACAUACAUACAUAUAAAUAACUACGAUGCAAGCUAGGUUAAUGAACGGUUAAUAACGAUAAUAACAUAGUAAUAACGAUAACGUUGAUAAUAUUGAUCACGAUGCUUGAGAACGAUACUUGUAACGAUAAGUGACGCACGAUUCGAACAACUUUCUCGAUCCCUGUCUCGCAGUAUACGAAGCAGUGUACGAAGCAGUGUACGAAACAGUGUACGAAGCGGUGUACGAAGCAGUGUACAAGAACAGCAGAACGCUGCGAGUUGAGAUAACAAGUGGUCGGUAACGAAGCGAGAAUAGUAGGCGCGAACAACGGAUGCUGAUCAGCGUAGUGGAAUGGAAGCAGAGAGGAAAGACGACGGAACGUGUUGAAAACAACGGGGAUCUCGAAAAUGGCAUUUGAACGUUUUACGAAAGAACGAUGGAACAUUUAGAUGGAUUCGAUACUGCUAACAAGUCCAAGUAGACGUUAAAAUCGGUCAAAUUAUCAAUUUUUCCAAUUUAUUCUAUCUUUCUAUUCGCAUUUCGUGAAAUUCAGCUACGCGUGGUUCAGUUUUACGAAACGGGUGUACACGAGGGUGUUAGCGAGCGUUACGCGUUGGGAUUAAUCGUAAAACGUUUGCCGUUUGCCAGCUAUCUAGUCGUCAAAGUUAAACAUCUAUUCGUACUAUAAACGCACGAAUCCCUGUCGUCGAUCCAAAGAUCGAGUUCUAUUCGAGGCAUGGAUUAGCACGAGCUUGUUCCGUCAAUCGUUGAAAGCGGUGCUCGAGAAUCGUGAUUAUCCGAUAACGACGGGUACAGCUAUAUUCGACGAGGCGCGUGUAAAAUGGUCCGAUCGUUAUUGGAUGAGCAUGAAGGGAAGAAAAGUAGAGGAAAGCGGGAAAGCGAAAGGAAGAAAAACGAGGAAACGAAAGGAUAAACUCGAUUAUUCUUUGAAAUUUGCGAAAACGACCGGUUCGGUGUCGAGCAUGAAUGUGUGAGUGAAAGUGCGAAGAAAGAAAGGGAGCGCAAGAGGAAGAAUGAAAACGAAGACGUAAGCAUGCAUUAUUACUUAUGUAUUAUGCAGUAAACGAGGAAAAAGAUACUUACCUUAUACAUAUAUAUAUAUAUAUAUAUAUAUAUAUGUAUACAAAUAUAUAUAUAUAUAAAUAUUAUAUAUAUAUACAUAGCUAGUUCAAUUUGCAAAUUAGUGUGUAUUGUCGCUUUUAAAUGCCAUUAUUUCUCAAAACUUAAACCCAACAACCAAUUUCAAGUUCAUUCUUUUUUUAAGGAAAAAACCAAUAAAAUAAUGUGUUAAAAUAUUUCAAGAUACUCGUGUUUUUCAAUUAAGCUUAAGACAUUACGAAGGCUAAUUAAAAUUUUCAAAGUUUUUCCACUUUUAACGAAUACGCGAUCUCUGCGUUUCCGAUGUUUCGAAAUUAGUGCAGGUACUUCAGAGAGGGCGCACUGAAUUGUUUUUUUCCAUCAUCUUCUUGUAUAUUAUCCGAGGCUCGACAGAUGGCAGCACCAAACGCCUCGUGAAGUCCUUUUAUACGAAAUAUAAAGAUAAUCGCAUAGAAACGACAAGAUACCUUCCGAACCCGCAGCUUUCGCUUAGUAAAAAUGUUUAUUUUUUAUGAAAACUAAGUAGUAUAUACUUGUAACCUCCCAAAUAUAAAUUUUUACUCCA